AGAGUUUGAUCAUGGCUCAGAUUGAACGCUGGCGGCAGGCCUAACACAUGCAAGUCGAACGGUAACAUUUCUAGCUUGCUAGAAGAUGACGAGUGGCGGACGGGUGAGUAAUGCUUGGGAACUUGCCUUUGCGAGGGGGAUAACAGUUGGAAACGACUGCUAAUACCGCAUAAUGUCUACGGACCAAACGGGGCUUUUAGCUCCGGCGCAAAGAGAGGCCCAAGUGAGAUUAGCUAGUUGGUAAGGUAAUGGCUUACCAGGGCAACGAUCUCUAGCUGUUCUGAGAGGAAGAUCAGCCACACUGGAACUGAGACACGGUCCAGACUCCUACGGGAGGCAGCAGUGGGGAAUAUUGCACAAUGGGGGAAACCCUGAUGCAGCCAUGCCGCGUGUGUGAAGAAGGCCUUCGGGUUGUAAAGCACUUUCAGUUGUGAGGAAAAGUUAGUAGUUAAUACCUGCUAGCCGUGACGUUAACAACAGAAGAAGCACCGGCUAACUCCGUGCCAGCAGCCGCGGUAAUACGGAGGGUGCGAGCGUUAAUCGGAAUUACUGGGCGUAAAGCGCACGCAGGCGGUUUGUUAAGCUAGAUGUGAAAGCCCCGGGCUCAACCUGGGAUAGUCAUUUAGAACUGGCAGACUAGAGUCUUGGAGAGGGGAGUGGAAUUCCAGGUGUAGCGGUGAAAUGCGU
RNAcentral lists this ribosomal RNA (687 nucleotides) under uncultured marine microorganism. Its description in RNAcentral is "bacterial SSU rRNA". It matches the Rfam family "Bacterial small subunit ribosomal RNA", at positions 8 to 691 of the family's 1533-position model. The record is from RNAcentral.